RNAcentral lists this ribosomal RNA (1076 nucleotides) under Thalassiosira antarctica. Its description in RNAcentral is "partial Bacterial large subunit ribosomal RNA". It matches the Rfam family "Bacterial large subunit ribosomal RNA", at positions 1800 to 2909 of the family's 2925-position model. Lineage: Eukaryota; Bacillariophyta; Thalassiosirophyceae; Thalassiosirales; Thalassiosiraceae. The record is from RNAcentral.
CUGUUUCUAUCCCACAUCACAGGUCUCUGCAAAUUUGAAAAAAGAAGUAUAGAGACUGACGCCUGCCCGGUGCUGCAAGCUUAAUAGAAAAAGUUUUGGCUUUAACUUUAACCCCCAGUAAACGGCGGCUGUAACUCUGACGGUCCAAAGGUAGCGAAAUUCCUUGGCAUUUAAUUGGUGUCCUGCAUGAAUGGCGUAACGACUGUCCUACUGUCUCCAAUGCAAUCUCAGUGAAAUUGAAAUGUCUGUGAAGAUGCAGACUACUCGCGGCUAGACGGAAAGACCCUGUGCACCUUUACUAUAGUUAUAAAUUGUAAUAAAAUUUUUUCUGUGUAGUAUACGUGGUAAGUUUUUAUCAAAUCGUAACGCAAGUUAUUUGUUUAAACACAAAUGAAAUACCACUCUUAAAAACUUUUGUUACUCAUAAUCUCAAAACAGUUUAUAAUGGGUAGUUUGACUGGGGCGGUCGCCUCCUAAAAAGUAACGGAGGCGUACGAAGGUAAGCUCAAAUUGAAAAAAACCAAUUUAAGAGCAUAAUAGUAAAUUGUUUGCUUGACUGAGAGAUUGACAAAUCGAACAGAGAUGAAAGUCGGUUAUAGUGAUCCGAUGACUCUGAGUGGAAAAGGUCAUCGCUCAACGGAUAAAAGGUACGCCAGGGAUAACAGGCUAAUCAUUCUUUAGAGACCCUAUCGAUGGAGUGGUUUGGCACCUCGAUGUUGGAUUAUCGCAUCCUGGAGCUGUAAGUGGUUCCAAGGGUUUGGCUGUUCGCCAAGAAAGGCGGUACAUGAUCUGAGUUUAGAACGUUGUAAAACAGUUUGGUCCCUAUCUACCGUGAGUGUUAAAAAUUGAAAGGAGUAAACCCUAGUACGAGAGGACCGGGAAAAGUGAAUCUCUGGUGAAUCGGUUGUUAUUUUAAUAGCAUCGUCGAGUAGCUAUAUUUAUGAUAGAUAAUUGCUGAAAGCAUCUAAACAAGAAACUAACCUUGAAAAAAAUUUUUAAAAAGUCGUAAAAGAUUAUUACGUAAUAGACUUAAUGUAUAAGAGUUGUAAAAUUUUUAGCAAAUAAGCACUAAAAUU